UCAGUGAAACUCAACCUCAGUACUUCCAGGUGAAUAUAUACAGCACCUGAUAAGGCUGAGGUAUUGUACCACUAAAC
This 77-nucleotide microRNA precursor is filed under the name Podarcis lilfordi (Lilford's wall lizard). Lineage: Eukaryota; Metazoa; Chordata; Lepidosauria; Squamata; Lacertidae. The record is from RNAcentral.